Syngnathus acus (greater pipefish) is the source of this 202-nucleotide long non-coding RNA. RefSeq lists it as uncharacterized. The record is from RefSeq and is a predicted model, not a curated record. NCBI's taxonomy places the organism in Eukaryota, Metazoa, Chordata, Actinopteri, Syngnathiformes, Syngnathidae. The transcript is spliced from 2 exons.
GUAUAUAUAUAUAUAUAUAUAUAUAUACAUAUACACAUAUAUAUAUAUAUUCCAAAAGAAGUCUCAUUUAUGAAUUGUGUAUAAAAGGGAUGUUUAAUAGUACUCAUCCUUAAUGUCGGGUGGGGGGUUUCAAGCAAGUGUCUCCUUAUCUCUGUGAUUUGCCUUGAAAAGGAUGUAACAAAAUAAAAAGGUUUGUGUCAAA